RNAcentral lists this transfer RNA (69 nucleotides) under Ips nitidus. RNAcentral describes it as "tRNA-Leu". The record is from RNAcentral. Lineage: Eukaryota; Metazoa; Arthropoda; Insecta; Coleoptera; Curculionidae.
UAUUAAAAUUUAAAAAAAAAUAAUCAUCUAUUUAUUAUUGUUUGUGUUAGUUACAUUGGCAGACUAGUG